RNAcentral lists this ribosomal RNA (425 nucleotides) under uncultured Oscillospiraceae bacterium. RNAcentral's name for it is "bacterial SSU rRNA". It matches the Rfam family "Bacterial small subunit ribosomal RNA", at positions 355 to 794 of the family's 1533-position model. The record is from RNAcentral. Lineage: Bacteria; Bacillati; Bacillota; Clostridia; Eubacteriales; Oscillospiraceae.
UGGGGAAUAUUGGGGCAAUGGGGCGCAAGCCUGACCCAGCAACGCCGCGUGAAGGAAGAAGGCUUUCGGGUUGUAAACUUCUUUUGUCAGGGACGAGAAGAAGACGGUACCUGACGAAUAAGCCACAGCUAACUACGUGCCAGCAGCCGCGGUAAUACGUAGGUGGCAAGCGUUGUCCGGAAUUACUGGGUGUAAAGGGAGCGUAGGCGGGGACGCAAGUUGAAUGUUAAAACUAUCGGCUCAACCGGUAAGUGCGUUCAAAACUGUGUCUCUUGAGUGGAGUAGAGGCAGGCGGAAUUCCCAGUGUAGCGGUGAAAUGCGUAGAUAUUGGGAGGAACACCAGUGGCGAAGGCGGCCUGCUGGGCUCUAACUGACGCUGAGGUUCGAAAGUGUGGGUAGCAAACAGGAUUAGAUACCCUGGUAGU